RNAcentral lists this transfer RNA (67 nucleotides) under Marmota monax (woodchuck). RNAcentral describes it as "tRNA.Ala". Lineage: Eukaryota; Metazoa; Chordata; Mammalia; Rodentia; Sciuridae. The record is from RNAcentral.
GGUUGUGGCUCAGUGGCAGAGCACUUGCCUAGCACGUGUGAGGCACUGGGUUGGAUCCCCAAUACCA